UACGAAGGGGGCUAGCGUUGCUCGGAAUCACUGGGCGUAAAGCGCACGUAGGCGGCUUUUUAAGUCAGAGGUGAAAUCCUGGAGCUCAACUCCAGAACUGCCUUUGAUACUGGAGAGCUUGAGUCCGGGAGAGGUGAGUGGAACUGCGAGUGUAGAGGUGAAAUUCGUAGAUAUUCGCAAGAACACCAGUGGCGAAGGCGGCUCACUGGCCCGAUACUGACGCUGAGGCACGAAAGCGUGGGGAGCAAACAGG
This 253-nucleotide ribosomal RNA is filed under the name uncultured bacterium. RNAcentral's name for it is "partial 16S ribosomal RNA". It matches the Rfam family "Bacterial small subunit ribosomal RNA", at positions 524 to 776 of the family's 1533-position model. The record is from RNAcentral.